GAUGAACGCUAGCGGGAGGCCUAACACAUGCAAGCCGAGCGGUAUUUGUUCUUCGGAACAGAGAGAGCGGCGCACGGGUGCGGAACACGUGUGCAACCUGCCUUUAUCUGGGGGAUAGCCUUUCGAAAGGAAGAUUAAUACCCCAUAAUAUAUUGCGUGGCAUCACUUGAUAUUGAUAACUCCGGUGGAUAGAGAUGGGCACGCGCAAGAUUAGAUAGUUGGUGAGGUAACGGCUCACCAAGUCAAUGAUCUUUAGGGGGCCUGAGAGGGUGAUACCCCACACUGGUACUGAGGCACGGACCAGACUGCGACGGGGGGGAGCGGUGAGGAAUAUUGUACGAGGGGUUAGGGCCUGAUCCAGCCAUCCCGCGUGAAGGACGCCGGCCCUAGGGGUGGUAAACUUCUUUUGUAUAGGGAUAAACCUACUCUCGUGAGAGUAGCUGAAGGUACUAGACGAAUAAGCACCGGCUAACUCCGUG
Molecule: ribosomal RNA, 479 nt
Filed under: uncultured bacterium
Lineage: Bacteria
Description: partial 16S ribosomal RNA
Rfam family: Bacterial small subunit ribosomal RNA
Source: RNAcentral